Molecule: RNA transcript, 4964 nt
Organism: Gadus chalcogrammus (walleye pollock)
Lineage: Eukaryota; Metazoa; Chordata; Actinopteri; Gadiformes; Gadidae
Gene: castor1
Gene name: cytosolic arginine sensor for mTORC1 subunit 1
Exons: 11
Source: RefSeq, a predicted model, not a curated record
GUUGACUGGCAGCUAGCACCACUUUUAUUUUAAUUAAAAAAACCGAAUUGUUCAAAUUACUUCUAGGCUGUUGUCUUCGUUAAUUUCUUUAUUUAUGAGCACAUGUCGUAUUCCAAUAUAUUGCCACUUCCAGGAUUAAAGAUAACUUUAUUAUCCUCAAGGGGCACCACAAACCAUAAAAAAAAUAAGUACAUGGACUCGUUGGCCUACGAUCAACCAGAAUGGACUUGGCUUUCUUCAAAGUCCUAACUAUUUACAAAUUAAGAAGGUUUUCCAUGAUCGUGCCUGCAUAUUUGCUGAGCACUUUGAAACUAUCCUCCAAUUCAAGACCUCUCAAAUUGUAUAAUAUUUAAUCAGGGGGACCAGUAAUUUCUAGACAGUUCAACGCUUGCCUCGUUUCAAGGCGUUCUCGUCUCACGACGGGACGCCUGGAACGGGAUACCCAAAAUAAGCCUUAUUGGUGAGAAAGCGGGAGGGACUUCCAGUUAAAUGGGUUCAAAGCUUUUUAUAGCUGUGCAUGAGUUUAGCGGCGAGAAAGGGGGAGGGACUACCUCUGAAAUAUUGUGUAGCAUAUUGCUGUGUCGAUUCAUCUUAAAGCACCAUAUUUAUUACCCUUUUCGUUGUUAUUCGAGCUUUAUUUAUUUUUCUUGUGCCGGGGACAUUAAAUUGGCGUAGGCUACACAGGUCAUAGGAAAUAAGAGACCUGAAAUUACAUUAAAGUAGACCGGGGUACCGCUACAAUUCAGGAUCGUCUCAGCCUAGUUCAGCCCCGUUACCGACGCGACCUGUAGCUUUAAGAAGGCGUGUGUUGUUUACUGGGGUUGUAUCUACUUUGAACAGCCAGUAGUUGAGUGCGAUUGGAGUCGGAUUGCGUCGGAUGUUGUUCUGUUUAUCCGACCCUGAUGCAAAACACUCACAGUCGGAACAAUAGUCUGUUUUUUUUUGUCGUUCUUGUAUCACUGACCGGUUUUAUUCGAGCACCAGCAGUUCUCCCUGUAAAGCACCGCAUGCUGCCAGUGUGGAGAUCCCUCUCCUGCCCUGAGCCGACAACAUGGACCUGCACAUUCUGGACCACAGACUGCGGGUUACCAGCAUAUCCAAGGACGGCCUGGUCCAUUUCACGCACCCUCUGAUCAAAUUAAUAUUUCUCCGCAACAGAACACGAUGCAAGUUCUUCAGUUUGACCGAGACCCCGGAGAACUACACGGUGGUCCUGGAUGAGGAGGGCUUUAAAGAGCUCAAGCCUUCAGAGCACUUGCAGGUUGAGGGCUCUGUCUGGCUGCCACUCAACGUGGUCUCCAGCGGCAACGUCUCCAGCAGCUCUCAGGCAGUUGGCGUGACCAAGAUUGCCAAGUCAGUCAUCGCCCCAUUGGCUGAGCAGCAUGUGUCUGUCUUCAUGCUCUCCACCUAUCAGACAGACUUCAUAUUAGUGAAGGAGCAGGACCUAGCGGUGGUGGUGUCUACACUGGGGGAGGAGUUCAGUAUCUUCAGAGAGGUGGAGGGAGAAUCGGUCCCCGUGCAGGACGUUCACAACGGCCUUCACAAAAACGGCAAAGAAGCCAUCCAGCCUACAGUCCACCCAGUUCUCAUUCCUCAGAAUCACUUCUGUGUCAUGUCUCUGGACCCUGACACGCUUCCCUCAAUCGCCACCACCCUCAUCGACGUCCUGUUCUACUCCAACAGUCCUAAGGAAGGCACCUCAUCCACGGCUGGUGCCGAACUGGACUGCAUCAAAUUCUUCUCCUUCUCGCUCAUUGACGGCUACAUCUCACUGGUGAUGGACACCGAGGCUCAGAGGCAGUUCCCUGCUGACCUGCUCUUCACUAGCUCCUCGGGAGAACUCUGGAGGAUGGUUCGUAUCGGAGGUCAACCUCUGGGCUUCGACGAGUGUGGUAUCGUGGCCCAGAUCUCUCAGCCACUGGCAGACAGCGAUAUCUCUGCCUACUACAUUAGCACCUUCAGCUUUGAUCAUGCAUUGGUGCCUGAGGAGGACAUCGGGAGAGUGACAGAAAUGCUCCGUCAUCAGAGGAAGGAACCGGCCGCCAGCUGAGGGUAUCCCCCCCCUGUUCGGGCCGCUCCGGCCUCGUGUGUGUGUGUGUGUGUGUGUGUGUGUGUGUGUGUGUGUGUGUGUGUGUGUGUGUGUGUGUGUGUGUGUGUCAGCCACAGCUGGUUGCACGGUGGAGUAGCCCUGUUUCAAAGCACACACAGGUCCAAUCCAACCUGAGUUACCAGUGGGAGAAGAAGUGUGAACUAACGUGCACUAUUGUAGACUGUUGACCCUGUAGUGCGUCUAUGAUCUGAGGCUAAACUUGUAUCUUCAUGUUGUGUUGAACACUCCACACCUUUGCUAACACACAACUGAGUCUUCCAGAUUUUAUACGUUUUAAGACUGUGUCACGGUCUUUAUGUUUAAACUUAGUUAUUAGUUCUAUCAGGCAUUCAUUUUUUAAGUUUGACGGUAGGUCAUUAAUUAAUGCUGAAGAAAUAUGCAAUUAAAAGGUAAUUUCUUAACAUUUUCAGGGUUAUUCCAAGGUCCACCACACUGUCUUAUUUUGGUUUUGUUAUUUGCACAUUUAGAUCCUAGUUCUUGGUAGCUAGAUAGUUUUGUUUUCGUGUUAAAAUAACAUUUUGUACAAUCUGAAGCAGAACACAAGUAUUCCGUUAGCAUUUUCUAUUUUGUCAUGCUUCACUCAAUAAAGAAGUAUUGCGACAAUGGCGUUAUCAUUGGGUGUGUAUUUCUUCGGUCCUGUCACACUAUGCGGUUGCAUGCUGACCGCACGCUGCAACAACUUUCCAUAAAGAGAUUUCUGAGUAAACCUGCAAAUAGUUUGUUGAUACACUCAUGACAUUCCUGAGUUAAAAAAUAACUCAAUCACGCUGUAUAGAGUCUAUAACUGCCGGAUGUCAACUCAUCCAGUUUUGACCAGACUGAAAAUACAUUACAAAUGUUCAUAUCAUGAACAAUUUAAUACUACAGACAAACUUUUGGACGAUGUCUCAGUGUAAAACAUGUUAUCAUUACUGUUUGCUCUCAAGGGAGAUGCAACAAAAGGCCAGAUAGCCCUAAAAUUGGGCCCGCUCCACUAAGCAGCUAUCUUGGUUCCAUCUUGGUUCUAAACCCUACCAAGGCGGAGGAAAUUAAUGCAGAAUUCUGCAUUCCAAUGAAAGUGAAUGCUCUUUCCCUGCUGGUUUUAUAAUUGUUGUGAUUACUGACCUCUAGCUAAGACUGAUAUGUGAUUAUUUUGUAUUAUGUGUUUAACUACUGUUGACUCGUGCCACAACUCAUUGGGAAUUCAUAAAAAUAUUGGUAGUGUUUACCUUUGACCUUACUGGAAUUCUGAUAUUAUUUUCAGAGCUUGAAAUGAAGAAGUGGAUCUAAAAUGUGUUACUACUGUUUUCCUCAUAAUGGUGGUAAAUUCGAAUUUUUGCUGAGUCCGCUUUCGUGUUAAGAAGUUGAGCAUUCCGGAGGCGAUGAUGUAAUGCCUCCUUGACAGGGGUUGAGAUUGCGCUACAUGAUUUCAUCAUCUUCUACUCCAUUUGUUAUCAUUACAUUAUGAAAUUGCAAAUUCCUAUUGAAAUAAAGUUGACAUUUACAUUUGUAGAGAUACCUCCAGUAAUAGUAGCAACUCCUGGCCCUUGAAUCAGUCGGCUCUCUGACCCCACCUCAGUUAACACUACAGGUUGACACAUAUACCACGCGUCAUCAGACGGAAUUGUCUAUGCAUAAAAUUUCACACAUUUUGGUCAUCCCCGGUUUGUGCGUGUGAUGUGGUUAAUAAGAGGGAGGAGAUUAUCUGGUCUAUGGGUAUAUAUAUAUCACUGACCAAAGGGUUAUUGGACUUGAAAUACUGCUGGGUUCACUUGGAUUUUUCUAAACCAGACAAGAAGAGGGGAAGCUCGACAUGGACCAUCAACUCAGAAUCCAACACAAUCCAAUCCAUUAUGCAGUACUGCUUCUCCUGGCGGUCCAGUGGGGGCGUGUCCUCCCAAUGCCCAUUCUGAACCAGAGUGUGUGUAACGGCGCCUUACCUCUGACAGAGACCCUCCAGCACGAAGCCAGUCAGUUGCUGGACAACUAUGUGCUCAUCCAUCAGUUUCAGGCUGAUUCCAUCCCAGAAGGCGUUCCUGAUGCCAAGGUGAAUGGAAACAGCCCCGCUGAGAAACUGUACAGCAUCGCUGUGCAGGAAAUGCUGUUCUACCAGCACCUCAGGGUCGUAGAGGGAUACACCAUGGACUUCUGGGCCAACCCAGACCCCAACCUACAGGACACCUUCACAAUGGCAAUAAAUCGAUUGUCAAAACAUUACCAGAAGAUGGGGGAGCUUCUGAAUGCAGUUGACCCCAACUUUAAUUCUCCAACCAUGCCGGCUCCCCCGGACCUCAGCAUCGAGGGCGGCUAUGCCAAUAAACAUUAUGGCUGGGGGGUUUUAUCAAACCUAAAGGUCCUGUUAAACAAUGUGGAGCAAGAGCUCAAAAGUGUUUGUGGGGAAGAGUUACAAAACCUAUAAUCUGUCUAACCUUUAUUAUGUCUUAUAUAUUUAUAUAUUUAUUGAAUGUUUUUAUACUGAUUGAUAUUUAUUUGUUUAAUGGUGAUUCCAAACCCUUUUUCCUCACAGCCUAAAGUAGCCAUUGCCCAUGUUAAAUGUAUGUUUAUUUAUUGUACUUAUUUAUAAAUUCUGGUUAGGUGCCUGUUCUAUUCGUGCCUGUUUGGAACAUGCAACAAUUUGUAAACAUAUUUGUAUUUAUUUAUAGAUGUAUUUAUUAACUGUUUUCUUAGAGAAAGACAAGUGUAAAUUUUAAACUAUGAUUUUUUUCUAGAUAUUUGUAUUUAAAUAUUUAUUUAAUAUGACUGCCUAACAUGGCACCUAUUGGGAUUACGUAAGAGCCACUGUAUACACACACUGUUUAUAAGCCUAGGUGCUGUUUAUGUAAAGAGUAAAGAUUUUAUUUUUUAUUAAACUGUA